UUUUUUUUUUUUUUGGUUUGAAGUUAAAAAGAAAAACAUUGAUUGUUGGACAAUGCUCUUUUGACCAUUACUGAUUCAUGAAUCCGUAAUAAUGGCCCACGAUAUAUUCUUUUAACCGUCAACUUAAGAAAAAACAAACUAUAGUAAAUUAACGCAAUAAAAACCAUUAAUGCAAAUAAACUUCACCGAGCCAAAGAACAUGGGCUAACAAUCGGCACAAAGCACUUUCUUUUUUACUGUGAAAGGAAAAUAUUCACCGAAAUUAUAAUUAGUUAAAAUGACAACACUACCUUGAAAAAGCACUUAUAAAUAGAGGAUCGGUGCGAGUAACUGACAUUCAUCAUCAUCAUCAUCAUCAUUCACAGAACACAUACACGCACAAAAAAAAUUUCAUACAACAAAAUGGCGAAUUACUCAAGUAUUCACAUUCUCUUCUUGGUCUUCAUCACAAGUAAGACCAAACACUCUCUGUUUUCGUUCCUCCUCUGCUUUAUCUGUUUACAAAUGAGAAUAAUAUUAAUUCUACUUCUUAUCAAAACUCCUUUUUUUGUUCAUCGUCUUCAAAUCACAAAACAUAGUUCUCAAAAACAUUUCGUGUUUUAUUUUCCUUUGGAUUCAACAGUUUUUUUUUUGUUUCUGGAAUUUCAGACGGCAUUGCUGUUUCCGCCACCGUCUUCACAUUACAGAACAGUUGUCCUUACACCGUUUGGCCGGGAAUUCUCUCCGGUAACGACAACACCCUCGGCGACGGCGGAUUUCCCUUGACUCCUGGCGCUUCCGUACAGCUCACGGCUCCUGCUGGAUGGUCAGGCCGGUUCUGGGCUCGUACCGGCUGCAACUUCGACGCCUCCGGCCACGGUAACUGCGUCACCGGAGACUGCGGUGGCGUUCUAAAAUGUAACGGCGGCGGAGUUCCACCAGUCACUCUUGCUGAAUUCACACUCGUUGGCGAUGGCGGCAAGGAUUUCUACGACGUGAGCCUCGUCGACGGUUACAAUGUCGAGAUGGGGAUUAAACCUCAAGGUGGAUCAGGUGAUUGCCAUUACGCCGGCUGUGUCGCGGACGUCAACGCGGUUUGUCCUAACGAGCUUCGGAUCAUGGAUCCACAUACCGGAAUCAUCGCGGCGUGUAAAAGCGCUUGUGCGGCGUUUAAUUCUGAGGAGUUCUGUUGUACCGGUGCUCACGCGACGCCGCAAACUUGCUCUCCGACGCAUUACUCGGCGAUGUUUAAAAGCGCUUGCCCUGGCGCUUACAGUUACGCCUAUGACGACGCCACAAGCACCUUCACUUGUACCGGAUCUAACUACUUGAUCUCUUUCUGCCCCACCCGGUCUUAAAAACCGGAGCUCCGGUUUAGAUUUCACGUUUCUUUUGCUUAUUAUGUACUGAAAGAUUAUUAAUUUGUUUCAUCUUCUUCCGUUUUAAAUAUUUUUCUUGUACUCAGUUGUUACAUUCAUUUCAUUUGCAUUGUUGCUUUGAUUUGUAUCUUCUCUAUAUUUUACUAAGUAUUGAUUUUGCAUUACCUAUAUACAACCUAUGAACCUAAGAUAUUAAUAUCUGGAUAAACAAAGAUGGAGGGGCUUCACUAGAGAUUUUCUUUGUUUCAUGUCAUUUUGUUCCUGAUGACUUACUUACAUGAGAGAGCAAUAACAACUACUAGUGUUUACCCAAAAGAGAGAGAGCUAAACUACUAUACUCAAACUUUUUAAGCCGCGGAAUGGUUAAAACAUGUGACCCGCGCAGAUUCGACAGAUUUUUGUUAGUCUAUUAAAGGAUAUUUAGCUGAUGCAGUUAAAGAUCAGUGUUUCUGGCUUCUUUUGGCUUCCACUUGGCAAGCCUUCUUCAUUCCUGUUGCAGCCUGAACGAAUCCCACGAUAACCUGAAGCUCAUCCAUUUGCUGUAAACAAGAACAUGUCUCAGACUUAUCAAAAUCAGAAGACAAAAUUCACAAACAUAUCAUAGCUUUAAUGUUACCUGAGACAUGAAGUGUCUCUGAAUAAUGUCAAUCAGUUGCUCCUUUGUUGGAUUUGGAAGAGCAUCCACCUUUACAAGAAAAGAACAAUGAAUCACCUAUUGUCACAAACAAAACACUCUCUUCCCACAGUUACCAAGUAACAUCAGAUUGUUCUGUUGAACUCACGAGGUUAAAAUGUCGCCAAUAUCUCAGUAAUGCAGCCAUAUCCAACUUGGUAAGAUCAACCUUCUGCGUAAAGAACCAUAUUCCCUAAUCAGUAACACAUAGCAUUAACAUGAAAACCCCCCAACAAGUAGAAGAAAUUUGAGGUAUUACCAUGUUCAUGCGAGGAGUAAUACUCGAGUUUUUUGAGUGUGAGUCACAAGAAACUGCCCUGCACAAAGCCUUUUGAGAUAACCGCGAUGAUCUGUGUCCUCUCUGCUUCGACUUAUGAGGCUUCAAAGUGUCCUCAGUUGCUGCAAAAGACAAUCAAAGAACAGUCUUAAUGAAAUAUUUCACAAGUGCUUAACGAAUGAAAAAAAAUCUAGGUCAGAAAGAUUUGAUCUGAUACCAUGAAAUACUUCACAAAGGCUUGCUUUUCUUAUUCACAUAGUAAUCAAGUAUUUAUACAAGAGAGAAUUUCCUAUUUCUCGAUAAAGUUUCCUUAUUUCUGAUGAGACUAAAUCUGUAGUGUAAGAUUUCGGACAAUAUAUUGACAGAGACAAUGAACCAAACUUACUCAUAUCGGAAGGAUUAUUCCACUGUGUAGUAUGGUCGACUUCAAGAUCAUUGUCUUCUUCGUUCCCUGUAGGAUGUUCAAGAACACUAAGCGCAUUCCUCUGCAACUUCACUUCAAUUCCAUUAGUCAAAACCUGAAAAUUAAAAAGCACAAGGACUAAGAUUAAAAAUUGUACUCCAUAAGCAAAGUAAAGUAUGGGACUUUUUGAGAAAUGGGAAGGCUUGGAGACAACAAGUGGUGGAACUUGAUAUCGAUAUUAGUAAAAAAAAAUGAUGCUUUGGGUUAUGAGGAAAUCGUAUAAAAUACUGAUUUUUAUUGUAUAGCUAGAGAAAUGAUCAAAAAAGGAUCAAAGAAAGUAAAUUGAUAAUAUAAAACUAGAAAGCCUAAUGCAACGGAGAACAUCUAUAAAAAGUUAACAUCAAACCAAAGGAGAAAAAAAUUCGGCAGUGGAUGAAAAUGACCCAUCUGAAAAAGAAAGAACAAAAACCCUAAAUAUAAUUAAUUUAAGUAAUCAAAAUUAGUGACUACAAGUAAAACAAAUCUAAAAGCCAGCUUGAACCCACAAAGAUGUAAAAGAGAUAAGGAUUCUCAUGAAACUGAUUGUGAAAAAGAAACAAAAAAAAGUUAAAAAUAAAUACAAAAAGUGCAGAUCGUUAUGAUAAAAAAUAAAGUUAUGAUAAUUUUAGAACAAUCAAUCCCAUCGAUAUGGAUUUUGCUUUAUUUUUUUUUUUGUUGCGUUAAUCGAUUCGGUAACAUAGAAAUUUGUUGCAUUAUUGAGCUCAUGAUUCUGGAUACAGAAAAGGGGAAAGAUGCAAAUAAGACAAAACCAGGUAAGAAGAAACCGAAGUUGAUCUUGCUCACCAGCCAAUGCCAACCACCGAGUCCGACGGCUUUUUUAACGACGCCUUGAAGACCGACGAGUACGGAUUUGGUACGGUUGUUUCCGGUAACGAUGACUUUGGUAUGACGUGGCAACACAGAUAAUUCUUCUUCGCUACUGCAAUCGCCGAAGCAACUUUGUAGCUGAGAGAAUCCUCCUCCUCCUCCUCCUCCAUUGAGGAUGCUUGAGUUGUUCUUCGCAGCUUCCAGCAUUUGUCUUCUCUCUUUCGUUUUUUUUUUCUCUACUAUCAGAAAACAACCAAAUCGAGUUUCACAAUCUUCGAAACGGAAGUUGUUGCAUUUUGGAAAGGAUUGAGAGAUGAAAUAAGAGAGAAAUCGAGCUACGAAAUUAGGGUUUUUUUGGUCUGAUGAAGAAAGACAGAGUAAGAGUGAGAGAGAAAGAGGAAAAAGCAGAGUAUUAUGAGUAAGAGAGAGAUACAGACGAGGGAAGGGAAGGGACGAUAGCGACCGCCUUCCUAUCGUAACCAAUAAGAAAUCAACACGUGUGUUUUGUACUUCUAUCAUUUGCACUGUGGAAAUUGAGCGGUUUUUUCAUGGAUGGGUACCAAAACCUUUUUUUGUCUUUUUUUACCAAGAGCUUUUUACUUUUUACUCUCUCUAAUAAGAUGGAGACGUCAUUGUUGGAAAACUUGCCCAACAUAAUAAUAGAUUAAGAGCUUAUAUUCCUUGUUAAUUCUCCCAAUUGAAUGAUACCAUAUUUUACUCAAAACAUAAUUUAAACCAAAACCUUAUUUUCCAUAUUAUUCAUUAUAUUACUUUUUUGAUAAAGAAGAUAGCUAAGCUAAGCGCUCUAUUCAUUAUAUUACUUGUCUUGGUCGUGGAAGAUUCAGAUUUUAUAAAGCGAAAUUCAACUGAAAAAAGAGUGGAUACGUUUGGUUAAAUCCUUAGAAACAUUUUGGGUACGAAUUUGUAUUGGAAUCUGAGUUUGAUGCUUUUGGAGGGUUUUAAAAUGAUCGAAAAAGGAAAACGAGGGCCACACUUCGUAAAUUUUGUGUAAUGUAUACACGCGAUCGACGUGAAUCUGAAUGGUUGACUGGUUUUUUCAAAAAAAAAGAGUCAGGCAUAAUGGGCCCAUGCAGCGUAAAGUUACGAUUAUACCCCUAUGGUUUAUUUGUUUUCUUUCGUUCCUCUCCCAUUGAAUUUGAAUUCGAAUUUGUAUAAUGUCCAUACUGAACAUUUAACUAAAGAGUGAUUCGUAAGACAACAUUUUUUUCUUGUUCAAGACAUAGCGUUUUGUACGUUUGAAGGUAUAGAGUUAGAAAAAGAGUUAUCAAGGUAACAUGGAGAUAAUCGAAAAGGCAAAACAUAUUUCAGAAAAAAGUCAAUAUUUUUCCCUAAAUAUGAACAGCUUAAGAGAAAGUUAUAAAAGUAUUUAAUUAACUCAAAAAUAUAAUCAACUAAUAAAAUGAAAUAAAGAAUCUAAUUGGUAUGUUGAAGAUUGCAUCACUAACUUUCGACAUGGUUUCCAAACUCUACAAAAUCUCUUUAUGUUAUGAGCUAUAGCAAUUCAAUGUAUGCCAGCAGCUGUGAGAAUAAGUUUGACAUUCAACUAAUAUGAACAAUUUGGAAUCUCCGUAUUCUGUGUGAACGACUAGUCGAUUGAAUAAAAACUCACAAGUUUCAUCGACACCACUCGUAUAACGUGAAUCAAAAUUAUUACAGUACUUUGAUCGUACACCCUAAAGAAACGAAAAAAUAGAUUAUUGAUUUGUAGAUAUUGUUAAACAAAUUACAUUGGCAAAAAAGUUACAUUAGGAUGAAGUACCUAAAAAAAUUAUUGGACAUGGCUAAACCGUUUGGAGUCAAUUUCCUAUAUUCUUUGACUAACUCUUUGCGUUGUGAAUGUGUUCUUCUACGGAAAAAAAAUACAAUAAACCAUCAAGAAAAGAUAAACACCAACUCAUAGAAAAUAAUCUGAAAAGAUAUUAAAAUUGCAAAUCGACACAAACCAAAUUAAAUUGAAAACGUAAGAUAUGAUACGCUACAUCACAAGAAUUCCGAAACUUAUCUCCAAGAAUUCCUAAACACUUACAUGUUAUAGAAGAUAUUAAAAGGCAUUGAGUCACUUUUUCCCGGUGAGCUAGCAACCAAGCAGAAACUGAACAAAACAUGACAAUGGUUUUGUUCAAAAAAAAAAAAAAAAAAAAAACAUGACAAUGGUUUUUUCUGUCUCAAUAGGUGAUUCAAAUGGUCGUUGCCUUCAUUCGUGGAGCGAUGGAGACUAAGAUUGAGAGUGGAAAUAACAUGUUUUAUUAGCUCUAUAUGGGACAUGUAAGCUUUAAACUGGAAUCACACACCAAUUCUACAAUAAAAAAUGAAUAUUGUUACGAUUAUUGUCAUCACAAUAUAUAAAGAUUCGGUCACAAUAAUUCUAUAUGCCUAAAAGCCAAAUUUGAUGUUCAACUUAUCACGCAAUUGAUGUUACAAUACACUAUAUAAUCUUACUUGGAAACACAUAUCCAUUAACUUGUAAGUAUCUAUCCACAUUACUAGCUACGCGUCCUUCAUUUAAUAUAUGAAACUAAUGUUGAUCAUGUGUAUUUUUCUAGAAAACAAAAUCAAUGAAAAAUGUUUUGAAUUUUUUGUUAAUGAAUAUUUUUAGAUUACUAUUGUGUAUCCUUGGGAGUUUGGUUUUAGUAGAUUUUGAUGACACAGUUCUUAUGGGUUUUAAUGGUUUAUCUAAUUGUUUUCAAAAGUAAAACAACGAUUUAAAACAUACUUAACACAUAUAGUCUACUUAUCGCCAAACCAAAGAAGAAACCCUCUAAACAUAUGUAUUCCUCUUAACGCUGGUUCUAAGAUUUAACAGAUAAUAUAAAAGUUAUCACGACUUUUUUCUCUAUAAAAGUUACUAGGAUUAAGUACAACAUUUUCGUGAUGCAUUAACAAAGUCGUUGUAGUAUAGUGGUAUGUAUUCCCGCCUGUCACGUGGGUGACCCGGGUUCGAUCCCCGGCAACGGCGUUAACCCUUUUUUAUGCCUAAUUCAUUGUAAACCCUCUGGUUCAUUCCAAAUGUUUCCCAACUCGCGAAGGUUCCUUGCUUAUAAGACAUUUGUUACACGGUCCUGCACUUUCUACAAAAGUAAACGUCAUAAUCUGAAAAAAUUACAAAUAAAUGAAUAAUUAGUUACAUCUAUACUAGCAGUCUACCUCAGAGAGCUGUAGUGUCUCAUUAGACCAUAUGCAAGGAGGAAACUUUUGAUUGUGUUCUUAGGAUUUAAAAAUAGGAAAUAAGGUGAACAGUGGUAGAACAGUUCUAACUUAUCCUGCAAACUGUUCUUCCUGAAGAACAGUUUUUAUAAUUUUAAGAACAGUUGUAUCCACUAUUCAACAUUUUUAUUAUUUUAAAACCCUUAAGAACACACUAAAUGUUCCCCCUUGCAUAUGCUCUUAGUCAUACAACUUCUUCUUUUUUCCUUUUCCUGCCAUUGCAGAAAAAAAAAAAAAAAACUCACGACAUAAAAAAAGGAGACAUUUUAAGAUUAAAAAGAUGGAUUUAAGUCACAGGUUCUUAUUAUUUUGAUAAAACAAUGUAAUCAAUUUUGAUUUGGUUGGAAGAUCAUAUAUCAUACAAUGUAAUCAAUUUUGAUUUCGUUGGAAGAUCAUAUAUCAUAUAUGCCGCCGGGCCUAGCUGUAGGACAAACAACUCGUAAACCCCUUUUCCCUUUUAUGUUCAUUGAACUAUACAGUUUUUUGGUUAUGAAUAAAAAAAUAAUUAUGGACCCAACAAUUAAUCCAAAUUUUGGAAGUAAAUUAGAUACUAAAAGCUUAAAAUCAACAUGUAAAUACUGUCUAAAACAUACUAGUAGAUAUGACAAAUCUGUUUCUUUAUAUUAUCUGUAAAGUAAGAAGAAGGUUAAAAAGUUAUAAUGUAUGGUUUACAUACAAAUAAUCAGGACAAAAGUGGUCAAUUCGUUUUCAAAAGUGAGAUUUGUAUGCAAGAAAAGUGCUAAUUUCAUUUGAAUAUAUCAUUAUGAUGUUAAUCACACGGCUUAUUCUUUGGUAAUUAACAAUACAGUUCAUUGCAUAAAAUAAAAAUAUAAAAAAAAACAAUCAAAUGGUGUGUUUUUCGGUCACACAAGUAAGGGACCCACACUGAAGAAACGGGUCCCACUUUGUCCCCUCCUUUCUCUUCUCUGUAUUAUUUGGUCAUUAACUCACAGAAAAAUGAUUAAAAAAAGAAAAAACAAUAACGUACUGCUUCGACGAAUACACCACACGCUACUAUACGUAGUUAUCCUCUACACCCAAUCAUAUACCUCUUCUAUGCACCUUACCAACUCACCCUUCAAAAAAAACGUAGUACACGUGGACGAUCGAUAUAACAAGAACACGGAGUCGUUAUGUGAACUCAACGUACUUGAACACACACACGACCCAAUUAUACUUUGGAGCACAAAAAAAAAAAAAGGUUUUGGAGAAGAAAGAGAGAUUCUGCUUCGAUUCCAGCGAAGGAAAAGCGUAUUCCUCGUGAGCACUAACUUCUCACUCCUCUUCUUCAUCAUCUUCUUCUUCUUCUUCUUCUUCUUCUUCUUCUUCAGUCUACGUUCACACAAUCUUUCACCCACCCAUUAAAAGCUCUCUCGGAGGUUUCGAGGGGCUUGGUUUUCUGAUGACGUCGGAUGGAGCUACGUCGACAUCAGCAGCUGCGGCUGCGGCGGCGGCAGCAGCGGCGAGGAGGAAGCCGUCGUGGAGGGAAAGGGAGAAUAAUCGGAGGAGAGAGAGACGGAGAAGAGCUGUAGCUGCGAAGAUAUAUACUGGGCUUAGAGCUCAAGGUGAUUAUAAUUUGCCUAAACAUUGUGAUAAUAAUGAAGUCCUCAAAGCUCUUUGUGUUGAAGCUGGUUGGGUUGUUGAAGAAGAUGGUACUACUUAUCGCAAGGUGAACAAUUUCUCCAAUUUUUCCAGAUCUGAGCUUGUUUCUUCAUGUUUGAAUCUGAAUUCGUUGAUUUCAAUUCCGUUUAAUCGGGUUUGAAUCUGAGAAAUUAAGGGUUUUCUCAAAGUGAAUUUGGAUCAUCAGUAACUAUGGAUGGAUCUAAUUUCUCAAAGUGAUUUUUUUUGGGUUUUCUUACUAAUUUAGAGUGAUGUGUUUAAGGAGAUUUAAUCAGAUUAAGGACUUUCUGAUGAUUCAAAUCUUCAACAUUUGUAAUUCAAUAGGUCUGCUUCCUUGAGCUAUUAUUAGUAUGUUAAAAGUCUUAAUCUGUAUAUACGAUACUUAAUCCAAAGUCAUUGCAUUGGUGAUUGGUUAUGACAUUGUGAUGUUUGAUUGGUUAUUGUUUUGUUUUGUUGGAGUAUCAGGGAUGCAAGCCUUUAACUGGUGAGAUAGCUGGGACAUCGUCUCGAGUUACUCCAUACUCAUCACAGAACCAGAGCCCUCUUUCAUCGGCCUUUCAAAGCCCCAUCCCGUCUUACCAAGUGAGCCCGUCUUCUUCGUCUUUCCCGAGUCCUUCUCGCGGUGAACCAAAUAACAACAUCUCCUCUACAUUCUUCCCCUUCCUCAGAAAUGGUGGCAUUCCUUCCUCUCUUCCUUCCCUCAGAAUCUCGAACAGUUGUCCAGUUACCCCACCGGUCUCAUCACCGACUUCCAAGAACCCUAAACCGUUGCCCAACUGGGAAUCUAUCGCUAAGCAAUCCAUGGCCAUUGCUAAACAAUCCAUGGCGUCUUUUAACUAUCCUUUCUAUGCUGUUUCUGCACCUGCUAGUCCGACACAUCGCCAGUUUCAUACCCCGGCUACUAUACCUGAAUGUGAUGAGUCUGACUCUUCAACUGUUGAUUCUGGUCAUUGGAUAAGCUUUCAGAAGUUUGCACAACAACAGCCAUUCUCUGCUUCUAUGGUGCCAACCUCUCCUACCUUCAAUCUUGUGAAACCCGCGCCUCAGCAGAUGUCUCCAAAUACUACUGCGUUCCAAGAGAUUGGUCAAAGCUCUGAAUUUAAAUUUGAGAAUAGCCAAGUUAAGCCGUGGGAAGGAGAGAGGAUACAUGAUGUGGGUAUGGAGGAUCUUGAGCUUACACUUGGAAACGGGAAGGCUCGUGGUUGACAUAAACAACUAAACAAAGUCGGAUGGCAUGUCGAUGGAGUGUGAGAAACUAAUCCUCCUGAGUUUCUUCAUCUUUCUUCUUCCAGGUAUUUGGAUCUUUAUGGAAUCUCAUAUGCUCUUCACUUACUAUCCAAAUAUGCUGCACAAAGCCUUCUCCAGGGAAGCAUUGGAGUAUUAGAGUGGUUGUUCAAUUCGUGAAUUUGGUUUCAAAAGCAUUAUUUGUAGAUAAAAAAAUCUUAAGAUGUAUGAUUCUAUUUCCAUACAAAUGUUAUAUUAAUUAGUGGCUUGAAACUGUUUUGUGUCUUGUCAAAUUGCUUAGUCAUGUAUCAUUUCUUGAGCCGAUUCUGCCUCUUAGCAUCAAGAUCCAAAAUUUGCAGGAUUACAAAAUGUUAAAUUUUUUAUUUCCCUGCAAUCAAUCUUCUUUCAAACACUAAUCCAUAUCAUCAAAUAAUCUAGUUAGACAAAGCUAGCUAGAAAGCACAACCAAAUGGACACACCUAGCUACAAAUGCUACUUUCCAUAAUGAAUAAAAACAUUUGUCAUCAUCGUCUUCAUAAUAAUCCAGUCCAGUCAGUGUGCUGCUGAUCAAACAAGUAAUGGAGAAUGCAGAACCAGUUUGGUUUCAGUCUCAGGGCUUUUUGGUUCUUUACAUUCUUGGUACCGGUAGCAAGCUGUGAGAUGAUCAUUCACAAUGCCAGAGGCCUGCAAGAAGGAAUAAAUAACAGUAGGACCAACGCAGCGAAACCCUCUCUGCAUCAUAUCUUUGCUUAUGUACUCUGCCUUUGGGGACUUAACCGGUACUUGACGACCAUAUCGAUAGCCAUUUCUUAAUGGCUUGUGGUUCACAAAUCUCCAACAAUAGUUGCUAAAUGAUCCAAAUUCUUGCUUGACCUGUUUUCAGUUUUAAUAAGUUUCCAACACAUAAUAUUUCACAAUUUAAUAUCAAAACACACAAUACCUACCUUAAGAACCGAUUUGGCGUUCUCUACAAUUGCUCGCAGUUUCUGUUCGGAAAGAAUAAGGCACCCAUUUACUCUAAGAGACAUCAACCUCUUCUCUGUGAAUUGUGCUAUAGCUGAAGGAUCAAACUCUUCAAAGAGCUUCCUGCAAAAAAAGAAACAAAAAUUUCUGAUAUUAAACCAAACCAAAACAAAAAAUAGCAAAAUUCUUUGGCCUAAAUUUACCUAAAGUCGUCUCUUUUGUGUAGGAUUGAAGGCCAGCUAAGCUCAGCCAAUGCUUGUGAGAACACUAGCAGCUCGAAGAGUUUCUUGUCAUCACGAACUGGAACACCCCAUUCCUCGUCAUGGAACAACACGUAGAUCGGGUCUGCCCAUCAAUCACAAUCGUUAUUAUUAACCGAGAAACUUAUAUACUCCGUCAAUCUUCAACAUUUUUUUUUGUCUUUAUCAACUACAACAAGACCUAAUUUUGCUGGGAGCAAUUAAUGUGUUGUUGACAUCAAUGAAAUUGAUUGUUACCUUUAUUAACUUUAUCAGAAAUUUUACAUUUCGAAAACUAUAAACAGCCAUUCACAUGGCAUCAAUUUUGAAGUCGAUUGGGAUAUUUUUUGGGGCCAAAAUGAAGAAAAUUGGGUAAGUAUCUUUAAAUUCUUUGCAGAUUCAUUAAAUGUUGCGACAAGGACAACAAGUCUCUACAUAGUGUAAAAAAAACAUUUUAUUUCUAACAUGAAAACCAAAAAAAAAACAUUUUAUCCAAUUUAGGACACUACAUUGUUUUUAUUUCUAACAUUAAAACCAAAAAAUAACAUUUUAUUUCAUCUUAUGACAAAAAAAAUACCAUCUCCUCGUUAUUCACGAAAUUCAAGAAAAAAAAAUGUGAAUUUAAAUUAAAGUUAAAUGAGGCAAAGAGGGAAAAAAAAAGUUGUCAGACAAAGAAACCUGAAUUAGGUGUGAUCCAGUGGCAUCUCUUGACCGGUCCCGGAAUUUUAGGAUUAAUGUCUUCAACGGCGGCGACGGAGACGACGACAUUAUUGAGCUUCGUAACUCCGUUCCGUUUCGACGGAGUUAUUUUCCCAGAGUUUGUUGUCUUCACAGACGAACGUUCCGAGAAUGACGAAGAAGAAGAGGUAUCAUCAGUCGAGGCUGAGAAAUUCGAAUCCGGUUUCUCCGUCGCCGGGGAUUUCGUCACUCGUGGAUUCUGUUGUGGUUUCUUUGUCAUUUCUGUUUUCGUAACCUUAAAUCUGUUCCCGGUUGAACCGAGGAUAGCUCGUGACUCAACCAUUGGUUUAACCGGAGACCGAAGCUUAGAGACAAUAGACAUUUGUGAGAAGCGUUGAGUGGUAGUAAAUGGAGAAUUCGAAGGUAAUGUGAGGGUAAAUAUGGAAAGAAAAGGGAAUGAAAUGAGAUCAGAGAGAAAGUGAGAGAUGGAACAGAGCUUCUUGGAGGUUUUUAAAAACAGAAGAACGGUAACAAAUAAAAAGGAUGUAAACCGGUGAUAGCCGGUUAAAUAUUGCUUACGUGUCGGUUAAUUUUUCUGUUUAAUCGUUUUAUUGGUUUCAGAAAAGGACACCAAGAAAUGGUUAUUACAUGUCGUGAAAAUUACGUCUUUGUCAUUAAAAGUUUGCCGCCUGCAUUAUUUUCUAACUUAUGGUUAAUAGUGUAAACAAAUGUUUUGGAGAAUGCACCAAAGUCUUUUAAUGCUUUAUGACUUUCAACCAUAUACAGUAGGAGUAAAAUUUAACGAAUCAAACUACAGAAAUUAGCUAAAGAAUGUUUUGGAGAAUGCACCAAAGUCCUCAAUGCCGCAUGCUUUAUGACUUUGACCCAUCCAUAUACAGUAAAAUUAAUGAAACAACUGUACACUAUUUACUUCGACCUCAAAAUUAACUGCUUCAAUCACAGCUUUUGGCUUCUCGAAGAGGGGCAAGUACAAUGAUUGUAAAUGAACCAAGAUUAUUUGACCCCUUUUUAUGUUAUUUAAUACAGUGUGAACUAGAUAGAAUUUUACCAGUUUUUACAUUCCACUCAUUAUUUGUUUCAUUCUAAAUUAAAAAUUCACCAAUUGGCAAAUAGUGUAUUGUUUAUGUUCCAUCUUCUGUGGGAUUUUUGAUAUGCAAAUCGAAAUGAUGAUCCUUCUAGUCAUUAUAAAAUCAAAAUUUAGGUCUUGAUAAAACUAAUAUCAAAGCAAAUCGAUCAAUCAGAUUUUAGAUCUAAUUGAUUUCGGUUCAGACCAAACCGGUAGAAGUUCACAUUCUAAUACAAUAUUAAGUUUAUGGUUUUUAAUUCAAAACAAAUUUUAACAAUAAGUGUAAUGAGUAUUGACCCAUAUCCACACUUGUGUCAUUUUUAUCUAUUUAUGUAAAACUUUAGAUGUGUGACUAAUGGAGGGCAUCAGAGGUGGGCGGAGAGUCAGGGUCUAAUUUGGUGAAGUGUGUGUGGUCUUGAAGGGUAAAAUAGGGAAAACAAAAGCUUUAAGUAGAAGUUAAAAAAGUAGCUUACCGUUAACAAAAAGAAUCGUAAAAAGCCAACACAACACCAACACCAACUCCACCACAACCUCAUUUCUUUAAUUUCGAACGGCUAACUACUAAAUGUCUAAAUCAGUAAAUCCUCUUUAAUUGGCUUAGCCCAAUUAAUUAUAUGGCCUUAACUACACCCAUAUCUCUCUCCGUACGUACUUAAUGAAAGCCUUUUAUGAUGAUAUAUCAGAUAGAUUCAUAGAUCUCUCAACAAACCAACAAAAAAUUGAUGUAAGUAUACCUGUGACAACUAAAAUUCUGCAACAUCUUUUGAUUCAGAACCGUAUCUCUGUACAUAGCCUUUGUGUAAGAACUAAAAGACUAAAGACUCGUUGUCUUCCUUUAAACCGGUCCGAGAGUGUUGAAGUGGUCCCAUGCUUCCUAAAUGAUGGAACCAAACCAAAAAAAAAAGGACUUAGAUUUAAAGAUCCUGCAAUGUUUUCAAAUUGUCAUAAAUAUUGAUUAUAGUAACAAUAGUAACCUGUAAAAAUUCGAAAACUUUCUCGGCCAUGUAUUUCUGGUUUGCAGAAGCACCCUUUUGCUGUAGUUUGUCUGGAUGAAGGAUUAGUAAUGCCCUCUGGUACGAUUUUCGGACCGCGUUUCCUUCGAUCAUAUCCAUUAGAGGAACUGGCUUCCACCCGCUCCCGGACCAAAGAAUCUGUUAAGUAAAAUUUCCAAAUUCAUUAGUUAUGCAAAUAGGCUAAUGCAUAGGAUCCAACAAUGGUUUGUGUUAUACAUCAACAAAACACUUACAUAUUGCAGCGUGGAUAGAAGAGACCGAAUGUUUCCGCUCUUUCCACUUGACCACUUGCGGAUUUUAGCAUCGAUCUUCUGCAGAGGUUCGUAUUCCGUUUUCUUUUAAUUUUGAGGCUAUUUUCGUGUAAAAGAAUCGAAAAAGUAGUAUAUCUCUUUGCAAUUGCAGUAGUAUUACCUUGAUUUCUUCAGCAUCCUUAUUGGUUUCUUCCAUUUUGUUGUUUUCAUCUUGUGUUAUAUCCUCCACCUGCACAGCUCAUUACAAGUUCCACACCAAUUAUAAAGAGAAACAUACACAUUUUUAGAUUGAAAACCUGAAAAGUUGAAAGGAGCAUUAAGUUACAUCGAAAUUUACAUGGAAGGGCUCAUCUAUAUCCUCUGAGGUAGUAUGUGCUGAUUAGAAAAAAAGAAAAGAAAGAUGUUAUUUAGUUGUGUAGUGGUAACAAGAUUUAAAUCCGAUACACCAAUCCAAGAACUUACUUGUGCUCGGUUCUUGUCUCUCUUCUUGUACAGUAACACCAGGAGCCUUAUAGUUCAUGCUCUCCCGGUCUGAAUCCUUUUUCUGAGUUGCGUGUGAAGGUUUCGAAUCCCGAUUCUGCAACGAUAUUGACAGGUAAGGAAUCACAAACCAAGGAACAUAUAGCAAGAUGUUGAUUUUCAGGUAAAGUACCAUAGCGGGGAUAUCUGGAGUCGAUUUCUUUUGUUGAUCAGGAAUGUUUACAGUAUCUUUGGCAUUAGCAGCAUCAUGAUUGAUAUCAGUCUUGGGAGUUUCUUUAGCUCUCCAUCUAGAGCUUUGUCCAAGAGAUUCCCCACCUGCUCCAACUGAAGCUCCUUUACUGAAAAUCUUAACAAAGUCACUCACUUUUCCUUUGACUCCAUCUUUGCCAACUUCUGCUGCUGCGGAUGAACUUGCGAAGCUGGAUUUAUCGGGUCUCGGGCUACUAUCCAAAGAAUUUUUAGUGCCUUGUGGUUUCUUUUUUGUUCUUGAAUCUUCAGUAAAACUUUGCGUGUUCUUCGCUUUGCUUUUACCUUUUCUCACUUCUCUCUCUGAUACUAUUUUCUCACCUGCAAUGACAAAGAACCAAAUGCACAGUCCAAAAAAGGAAGCUAACCCAACCAAAUGUAGCAAACAUAUAUGUCUCCAGAAACCAACCUUGUCUUUCAUCGUUUUCAUGCAAAAUUGAAUGAAGAGACUUCACAGUAGUAGCUUCAUGAGCUUUUGACACACCAGAGAAGGCCUGUUCAGACAUCGAAUCAAUUGAAUAAAGAGGCUUCACAUUAGCCUCACGUGCUUUUGACACACCAAAGAAGGCUUUUUCAGACACCGAAUCGAUUUCUGUUUUCUCUUCUUUUGUCUGAACAUGAGGACGAUUUAGCGAGGUCUUCUUCUCCUCUUUCAAACCACUUUCUCCUUCUUCAUUUUCACCCGCUUUCUCAACUGAAGUUUUUAGAUGAUCACCCAAUGUCACCGGCGUUGUCCCCUCAGCUUUAGACAUAGAACUUAGUCUAGAGCUUCCCCAAAUAACAACAGGAACACCUUUAUUAGGCCACUUGUAAAUAGAGAAAUGAAACUGCCUGCCUUUGCCAGUAACAACAACUCGUGCAGGAUCAUCACAAUCAUCUGAAUAUGAUUUAGCAGUAGAGACCAUAUCGGCUUUGCUUGAAGUUCUUGACAAAGGAGAGCUCGAAACAGUUUCUUUGUUCUUGCUCAAACUACGAGUAGCUAAACCAAAUGUAGGAAUCUCUGUUGCUUUUGCAGGAAGACUGAGUAACAAAGUCAACAAUUAUAUAUAUAUAUAUAAUUAAUCAAUGAAACUACUCUCUCCUUGAAAUUAGUUUAAAGAAAACAAACCUGAAUUGUGCAGGAGACGAAGUCCCUGAAGAUUCUGGUUUGUGAGCCGGGCUUAGGAUCCGAGAACCCGGAAGUGAUGAUGAAGAUGAUUCAUUAACUCUGAAAAUAUCGUCGAAGAAAUCAUCAGUAGUGAAACGACGCCGGACGGAUGUCUCUUCGCCGAAAACAGGCUUCUCGUCUUGAGGAAUCAGAGAGCCGACGUCGACGAUGACGUCACGACGCCUGAGAGCGGAUUCACUGAAGCUAUGUCGCGUGACUUGGUUACUAUUAGUAACUUUAGAGCGUCUCUUAGGAGGACCACCAAACACGUCACCGAAAUCGAUGUCCACGUCAUCACCGCCGGGAUUACGUAGCACAGGUGGUGCAGAGUUGGAGCCCAAAAGAACGGUUUCUGAGCUUGGUAAUGUCUGCAUAGCACACAAAAUAAACUUGGCACAGAAAUUUCAGUUUGGUCUGAGGAAGAUGAUACACACAAGGCUGAAGAAACAAAGGCUUAAGAAAAAGACAAAAAACAGAGAGGUAAGAGUGGGGUUCCAUUUGAUUUCAAACCACAAAAAUUGGAUUUUCCGGUUAUUACAGAGAGAAUCUUUAGACUCUUCUUUGUGGAUAGAACACAUAUAAAGCCAAACCCUUCACUCUCUCUUUGUCUUUCUUUUCAAUCUCAAUCUCUCUCUCUCUCUCUCUGUCUUGCCCAAUCUUUCUUUCUUUUUGUCUUUCCCAUAAUCUUUUUUUUGUGGUCAGAAAAUAAUGCAGAGUUAGACUCUCCUAGAACAGAAGAAGCCUCUUUAGAUUUGAGCUAUAUAGGAUACACAAAAUUCAUACUACAGAAGAAGAAAAAGAAAAGACUAGAAGCGCAAAAGGAGAACUGAUAUAUGUGGGAAGAUGAAACUGGACAAAAAAAUUUAGCCUACCUUUUUGUUUUACUGAAGGAAGUAUAUAUAUAUAAUCAGAAUCUGCCAUUGAGGAAGAAGAUUGGUUUUUGUCAAUAUCUUGCUUAACAAGCAUCCAUCUCUUUUAUCAAUCUGAACCAUCUGGGAAGCUAUCAAGCGCGUCUUGUUUGCCAUUAACAUAGAACUCCACUACUGCUUGCAUUCGUUCGAGUUUAUCUGGAUGGUAAUUCAGAUGAACAAUCACCGGCUUCAAUUUCUUCAGUUCAUGAUUCUUUCUCACGGUUUUGAAGAGAACCUUACUAUUCAUGAACUCGUACAUAUCCAUGACUCUUUUGGAAGCGUGUAAGCCAGUGUACCCGGGAUGCGAAGGGUAAAAGAGUUGCUCGUUGAAAACCGCUUGGUCCCAUGCCUCUGACUUAGAGAGUGUAUAAGCCACUCGGUCCAGUAGCUCGAUUGAAGGAAGAGUUGGUCUUAGAUAGAAAAACCCUGAAUUGAAAACCCAUAUCCUCAUUGUGUGUGCAUACCGAGCCCAUCCCAUGGAUGGUUCAUCAAACACAUCGUUGAAGCCAUACGCUGUCAUGUUGUCGUGGCCAUCGCUCAUUGACUCCACAUCAGAGUCUCUGUACAGAUGACCAAAAGGGUUCUGCAGAAAUACAAUGUCCACAUCCGAUAGAAGAACACUGUAGCCAAGCUGCAAGAACUCUCUUAACACACGGAAUUUCAGUCCGGAAACAGCGUGAUUACCUCCGCUUUUCCCAACCAUGUCAACUGCUUUAUCUGGAUCUCUCUUGUAAUAUGAAACCUCCUUCGAUUCACAGAAACUCUCUACGGAAUCAUCCAAGGCGAUAAUUAGGUAGUUUAGAAUACCAACCCUCUUGAUGCUAGCAAUCUGCAACUCCAGCAUUGGUUUCACAUUUGAAUUUGCAAGAACCACAAUGAUCUCUUUAUUGACAGCUACUUUCUCUAAAAGCUUAGCUAAUCUGGGGUUAACAGACUCGUCGGGAACCACAGUUGGAUUAGUUCUCAGACUCUUGACAGUGCCAAAAGAUCCUGCCUUAAUCUCUGAUCCCAAAACUAAGACUUGUUUCCUAGCAUUAUCCGUUCCUUGUUCCGCCAACCGUACCUUUUCCGUUAGCUCCCUGACCUGCUUCCUUAACUCUGCGUUCUCUUCGGAGAUAAUUGCAAAGUCUGAUUUGAGCAUUUUGACCCGUUCAGACGAUUCACAUGAAGCCAGUCCAUCCUGAACAUUACAAAAAGGAAACAGAGAAAAAAAUGAAACUUCACUAGUGAAAGUCAGAUGUUCAAGACUUAAAACUAAGUUCAACAUGAUGAUUGAACCAUGCAAUUUGUAAUUCUACUAAAAAAUCGACUAAGAUUUUGAAUUCCUCAAAACAAACGCAAGAGCUGACCACAGAGAAAUUUCAGAAAAAAAAAGAAAAAGGAAUGUACUGUGUUUAAGGCAUAAGAUCUAAAGUACACCUUAGAGGUUGAUUUCGAAAGGCGUUCUUCGUUAACAAUCAGCGAUGAUGAUUCCGAGUUCAAGAAGCCGUUCGGGAACAAGACGGAACAGACACACCCGAUAAGAAUUCCGACCAAGAUGGCAACCGCAAUUCGAGAUCCACGCAACUUGUGGAUUUUGUCUUUACGACCCGCCAUUGCCGAAAAGACGCAGAAGCUAAACCCUUUCUUCUUCUGUGAUCAAACUGUAUAUGUGGUGCAAGUUAAUUUUAUAUGAGCCUCUUUAACCAUUAAUUCGUAUUUAUUUCCUAAUUAUUUUUCUUAAGUUUCAUUUACUGUUUCUUCCAUAGUCCAUUUUAUUCUAUUCAUUUAUUAUGAUGGCUGCUGAAGUUGUCCUUGGUCAUACUAAUUAAAGACGAUAACAUAGUGAUAGACAAAGAAAUAAUAAGUGGUUUUAAUCUCUAUAUAUACUACACAGUCUAUAAAGAUUGCACUACUUGAUUGGAUCAUUUAUGUACAAGUUAGGCAAAAUUUCAUUUAUGUACAAGUUAGGCAAAAUUUCCCGAACCUACCACAAACCAAACUUCAAUUCAAUAUUUAAUUAAGCAGGAUCGAUUAGACUUUGGUUAUUAAGGCUCGAGAGUAAUUAGGUGAAGCUAGACAAACAUGUUACCAUCACAAGUAGGGCAAAGACAUGGAUUGAUACAAAUUGGAUCAUGCACUUCUUGCAAGUAUACGAUGUAUUGACUACGGUUCCGAUGAGAUAUCUGAGAUCUCUUUAUCAAAAAUCGCCGCAAGGAAACAGUUUUGUAAUGGAUUUGGAUAGCUUCACACUUCUUACAAGUAUCGGACUGAUGUCAGAGAUGCCAUCACUUGUUCCAAAAUAUAAAAGAGGCCAACAAAGCUCCUUUUCGGUGGUGGCUGACGGCUUUAAGGAAUCAGAGCUUUCGUUUUCAAUUUCCAUCUCCCGCCAAAUCUAGUUCUAAAUUCGGCUUAUAUUUUUCACACUUUUUAUAUAACAAACAUGAACAAUACUUGGAUUCACCCCUAGUGGUGAACCCUUGUAUUCACCCCUUCUACCUUUAACCAAUAGAAUUAUAUCAUAUCAAAUAUAAUAUUUAACUAGAAUUUAACCCGCGGUACACCGCGUGGCUAUAUUUUUUAAAAAAAUAUAAUGUUAUUUUUUAAAGUUUAACUGAAGAUAUAUCAUAUUAAUUUGUAAUUUUAAAUGUAGAUAUCUAUCUAUGUAUUAUCUAGUGUAUGAUUACUAUUGUUUAGGUUUCAAUUUUUAAAGUAUAGAUACGAAAACAUACAUUUUUUUUAAGUAACGAUGUAUGGUGGAUUUUAAAAUUUUGAAUAUUUGACUCCGAAGUAUACUGUGGGUCGGUUUUUUAAUAACUAAAAAUUUUAAGUUGUAUUUGUUUUGUUAAUAUUGUUUCUUUUGUUUUGUGUUUAAGAUUGUAUAAUUGUAUUUUGAUUGUUAAUUUUAGGAUUUCAUCCUUAAUAUACCGUUAUUAAUAUCGACCCAAACCCGUCAUUCCAUAUAAACCCGUCUAUAUUAUCCCAUUAGCUAAAUUAUUAGUGUUAUAAAAUCCAAGAAAAUAAAUUAUUAUUGUAAUAAAAUCCAAUAAUUUUAGGAUCUCACCCGUGGUAUACCGUUCUUUGAAUGAUUUUAAAUUUAUAUUACUAAUAUAUAUUUUAAAUUUAUCAUAUAAAAUAAAUGAUUUCAGGUUUUUGUGUUUUUAUUUUAUUUAAAUAAAGCAACGGCUUAAAUGAUGACAUAUAUAGUUUUUUUCUUGUAUGUGUAUAUAAUUUUUCUAUGUGAAUAUUUUGAUUAUUAUAAAUUAGUAUUUUUAUUACUAUGCAAAAUGUUAAUAUAAAUAUUUGCUAUAAAAGUUUUUUGAAGAUAUAUGGAAAGAUUGUGUAGAGAUUUUUAAAAACAAAUUAGGCAAGAUAUUGUUUGGUUCAUAUCUUUUAUUUAAAUUUUGUAAAAGUAAAUAAUAAAUGCCAAUGGCAUUCUUUGUAAAUACAUUUCAACUCCAGGAUUUAUUUGCUAAAAGUCAUCCAAAAAUGUAUAUAUAGAUCAGAAAUUAAUAAAUAAACAAAUAUAACAAAUUAAAAAAAUCAAAGCAUUUACAAAAAAAAAUUAAUUUAGUUAACGUCGUCUACGUUUACAUCGUUGCCGUUUAUCUAAUUAGGUUUUCAAUUUCAUUAUCCUCUUCCUCUGAGCCAUACGACACAAUUGAUAAUCCUCUAGACAUUGGAAAGGUAAAUUCUACAUUCACACAAGUCUAAGUACCAAUUAUAUCUCAGAACCUAUAAUUAUUAUUUUUCAUCUAAUUGCUUAUAAUCAAUUUGAAGUGUUAUAUGAGAUCACGUUAAUGCAAAUAAUUAGUAUUGGAUUAUAUAUGCUUCUUGUUUCAGGGUACGUGAAUGCAAUCAAUCAAUAAAUUCUUUUUCUUUAUUGUUUUUGUCUAUGACUCUGUCUCCCAUCUUCUGCUAUGAUUUUUAUAUUUUUUAGAAUUUCUUCGUUUGCUACUUGUGUUUGAAAUAGAAACCUUGGAAAUUUUUUGUUUUAAUAUUAAAACUCAUCGUUGAAGAACCAACCUACGACAAAUGGUCUUCUUUCUUCUUUUUCAUAAUUUCUUCCAAAAUCACAUUCAUAAUUUCUUUUUCAUAAUUUCUUUCGUCGACGUUAACUAAAUUAAUUUUUUUUUCAUGAUUUGAUUUUCUUAAUUUGUUAUAUUUGUAUAUUUAUUCAUUUCUGAUUAAAUGUUAUACUUGACAUGGCAUAAUUCUAUUGGCUAAAGGUAAAGGGGGUGAAUACAAGGGUUCAUCACUAGGGGUAAAUCCAAGUAUUAUUCAACAAACAUCUUAUUAAUUGUGAUCAAGCCCAUAAGAUACUGAUAGAGAAAGAAAUAAAUUGUUUUAAAUCUUUCGAUAGAAACAAAAGGAAGUGGUUCUAAUUUUCUUCAACCAAGUUCCAAGUUUGACAAAAAAAAAAAGAAAAGAAAGUGGUUUAAUAACCUAAAACAUCAGAAGAAAAAGAAGUUUGGUUCUUUCGAUAUCUUGCUUAACAAGCAUAUAUCCCUCUAUGAACCAUCAGAGAAGCUAUCAAGCGCAUCUUGCUUGCCAUUAACGUAGAACUCCACUGCAGCUUGCAUUCUUUCGAGUUUAUCUGAAUGGUAGUUCAUGUGAACAAUCACCGGCUUCAACUUCUUCAGUUCCUCAUUCUUUCUCACCGUUUUGAAGAGGACCCUACUGUUCAUGAACUCGUAUAUAUCCAUGGCUCGCUUGGAAGCGUGUAAGCCAAUGUAUCCGGGAUGUGAAGGGUAAAAGAGGUGCUCAUUGAAAACUGCUUGGUCCCAUCCCCCUGACUUAGAGAGUGUAUCUGUCACGCGAUCUAGUAGCUCGAUAGAAGGAAGAGUUGGUCUUAGAUAGAAAAACCCGGAAUUAAAAACCCAUAUCCUUGUUGUGUAGACAGUCCGAGACCGUGUCAUGGAUGGGUCAUCAAACACAUCGUUGAAGCCAUAAGCCGUGUUAUUGUCAUGGCCAUCGCUCAUGGACUCCACAUCAGAGUCUCUGUACAGAUGACCAAAAGGGUUCUGCAAGAAUACAAGGUCCACAUCCGCUAGAAGAACACCAUAACCAAGCUGCAAGAACUCCCUUAAUACGCGGAAUUUUAGUCCAGAUACGGCUGAACCACUUCCGCUUUUCCCAACCACAUCUAUCGCGUUAUCUGGAUCUCUCUUGAAAUAUGCGACUUCAUUCGAUCUACAGAAGCUUUCUAUGGAAUCAUCCAAUGGGAUAACCAAGUAGUUUUGAAUACCCACUCUCUUUACGCUAGCAGUCUGCACCUCCAACAUUGGUUUCACAUUGUUAUUUGCAAGAACUACAAUGAUCUCUUUAUUGACAGCUACUUUCUCUAAAAGCUUAGCUAAUCUGGGGUUAACAGACUCGUCGGGAACCACAGUUGGAUUGGUUUGCAGACCCGUGACAGUGCCAAAAGGCCCGGCCUUGAUCUCUGUUUUUUGUUCCGCCAACCGUACCUUUUCUGUUAGCUCACUGACCUGCUUGCUUAACUCGGCAUUCUUUUCGGAGAUGAUUGCAAAUUCUGCUUUGAACAUCUUGACCCGUUCA
This 22200-nucleotide long non-coding RNA is filed under the name Arabidopsis lyrata. Its description in RNAcentral is "long non-coding RNA (ALYR_LNC002882)". The stretch from base 6484 to 6555 matches the Rfam family "tRNA". The record is from RNAcentral. Lineage: Eukaryota; Viridiplantae; Streptophyta; Magnoliopsida; Brassicales; Brassicaceae.